RNAcentral lists this long non-coding RNA (1232 nucleotides) under Dromaius novaehollandiae (emu). RNAcentral's name for it is "lncRNA (ENSDNVG00000008301.1)". The record is from RNAcentral. Lineage: Eukaryota; Metazoa; Chordata; Aves; Casuariiformes; Dromaiidae.
AUUUCCUUACAGGCUUUUCUAGAAUAAUCAUUAGUAGAGUAUCUGAAUGCUUCACAUAUAUUAAUGAGUUCUCAACACUGAAAUAGUAGCAUUAUCAUCACUUUAAAAUUGAGAAAGCGGAGGCACAGAGGCAAUCGAUACAAAAACAGCUGCUAACUUGGGGUGCUCUUCAUUUAGUUGGAUAUAAUGGAUAUAAUUUACAGGUUAUUCAAGAGUAGGUUCAGAAAUGGAGGUGCUAGCUGUAACUUUAGAGCCGUGUUAAAUUAAGCUGUAAGCUUCCUGUUUAACUUGUGCAUUUCUGUUGUGCUGUUUGCAAUAUUAGGGCUUUCCUAUUGCAAGACUAUUGUGGUGUUCUGUUCUAAGAAAUGCUUGAAGUGCUCAGAAGCAGCAGUGGUGGAAGCAGUAUAAAUAUUCUAGAUAGUGCUGGGUAUUUCUGAUUUUUAGAUUCCAGAGGCUCAAAUUUGGAAUUUGGAGAAUGAGAAGCACUUCCUUAGAGGGCACCAAUUAGAUGCAAGAGACUUGCUGCUCUGAGUAGAUCCCUGGAAAAAAACAAGGAUAGAAUCUGGGUAUACAUUAGCAUUAGGUAUACAUAUAGCAUUAAUUUCCUGUACCAUCCAUCCCACCAUCACCCUUUCUUCUCCUCCCCAGCGAGCUCUACAUUUUACCCUCUUGGUGUUGUAGGUAGGCAUCCAUCCUUUCCACUGCCUGGGUGCCAGAAGAGGGAGCACUGAGAACAGUGGAGCCCCAGCCUUAAUUCCAGUCCCCACUGCUGCCUCAGAGGAGAGUUACAUAGCAGAGGAUGAAGCAUUCAGGGUUGGAACAGUUCUCAGUUCAACUGCGGUUACAGCAUCUCAGUCCAGACCGCCUGGAACAGUUUGAUCAACUAACUGGAUGUCCUGGAAAAACUCUCAAAUGACUAUUUAGUUCGAUAUUCUCUGCUCAAGGGGUUCUGGUGGUUUCACAGCUAACAAAGGCUUGGUGUACUUUCAGCCUAUAUACCACAGAAUGUUGCACUGCUACUGAAGACCUAAAUUUUGAAGUCUAUGGUCCUCAGGGUUGGAGGGAAGCUGAGCCUAAAGAGAAGCUGCCAUGUUUGCUGGAUAAAUUAAAGAUUGGGAUUUGGAAGGUAUUGGCAUUUUUGGAAACAUUCCAGAAUGUCAUGCUUCCAAACAUUGUAUGAGACCUGCACCAAAUCAUGUAACUUUGCAAGAAAAGAGAGAAGGUUCCCUGCA